GAUGAACGCUGGCGGCGUGCCUAAUACAUGCAAGUCGAGCGAACGGACGAGAAGCUUGCUUCUCUGAUGUUAGCGGCGGACGGGUGAGUAACACGUGGAUAACCUACCUAUAAGACUGGGAUAACUUCGGGAAACCGGAGCUAAUACCGGAUGAUAUUUUAAACCGCAUGGUUCAAAAGUGAAAGACGGUCUUGCUGUCACUUAUAGAUGGAUCCGCGCUGCAUUAGCUAGUUGGUAAGGUAACGACUUACCAAGGCAACGAUGCAUAGCCGACCUGAGAGGGUGAUCGGCCACACUGGAACUGAGACACGGUCCAGACUCCUACGGGAGGCAGCAGUAGGGAAUCUUCCGCAAUGGGCGAAAGCCUGACGGAGCAACGCCGCGUGAGUGAUGAAGGUCUUCGGAUCGUAAAACUCUGUUAUUAGGGAAGAACAUAUGUGUAAGUAACUGUGCACAUCUUGACGGUACCUAAUCAGAAAGCCACGGCUAACUACGUG
Molecule: ribosomal RNA, 497 nt
Filed under: uncultured bacterium
Lineage: Bacteria
Description: partial 16S ribosomal RNA
Rfam family: Bacterial small subunit ribosomal RNA
Source: RNAcentral